AGAGUUUGAUCCUGGCUCAGGACGAACGCUGGCGGCGUGCCUAAUACAUGCAAGUCGAACGCUUCUUUUUCAUCGAACUUCGGUUCACCGGAAAAGAAGAGUGGCGAACGGGUGAGUAACACGUGGGUAACCUACCCAUCAGCGGGGGAUAACACUUGGAAACAGGUGCUAAUACCGCAUAAUCUUUUUCUCCGCCUGGAGAGGAAGUGAAAGGCGCUUUUGCGUCACUGAUGGAUGGACCCGCGCUGCAUUAGCUAGUUGGUGAGGUAACGGCUCACCAAGGCCACGAUGCAUAGCCGACCUGAGAGGGUGAUCGGCCACACUGGGACUGAGACACGGCCCAGACUCCUACGGGAGGCAGCAGUAGGGAAUCUUCGGCAAUGGACGAAAGUCUGACCGAGCAACGCCGCGUGAGUGAAGAAGGUUUUCGGAUCGUAAAACUCUGUUGUUAGAGAAGAAUAAGGAUGAGAGUAAAAAGUUCAUCCCUUGACGGUAUCUAACCAGAAAGCCACGGCUAACUACGUGCCAGCAGCCGCGGUAAUACGUAGGUGGCAAGCGUUGUCCGGAUUUAUUGGGCGUAAAGCGAGCGCAGGCGGUUUCUUAAGUCUGAUGUGAAAGCCCCCGGCUUAACCGGGGAGGGUCAUUGGAAACUGAGAAACUUGAGUGCAGAAGAGGAGAGUGGAAUUCCAUGUGUAGCGGUGAAAUGCGUAGAGAUCUGGAGGAAUACCGGUGGCGAAGGCGGCCCCCUGGACGAAGACUGACGCUCAGGUGCGAAAGCGUGGGGAGCAAACAGGAUUAGAUACCCUGGUAGUCCACGCCGUAAACGAUGUCGACUUGGAGGUUGUGCCCUUGAGGCGUGGCCUCCGGAGCUAACGCGUUAAGUCGACCGCCUGGGGAGUACGGCCCGCAAGGUUAAAACUCAAAUGAAUUGACGGGGGCCCGCACAAGCGGUGGAGCAUGUGGUUUAAUUCGAUGCAACGCGAAGAACCUUACCUGGUCUUGACAUCCACGGAAGUUUUCAGAGAUGAGAAUGUGCCUUCGGGAACCGUGAGACAGGUGCUGCAUGGCUGUCGUCAGCUCGUGUUGUGAAAUGUUGGGUUAAGUCCCGCAACGAGCGCAACCCUUAUCCUUUGUUGCCAGCGGUCCGGCCGGGAACUCAAAGGAGACUGCCAGUGAUAAACUGGAGGAAGGUGGGGAUGACGUCAAGUCAUCAUGGCCCUUACGACCAGGGCUACACACGUGCUACAAUGGCGCAUACAAAGAGAAGCGACCUCGCGAGAGCAAGCGGACGUCAUAAAGUGCGUCGUAGUCCGGACUGGAGUCUGCAACUCGACUCCAUGAAGUCGGAAUCGCUAGUAAUCGUGGAUCAGAAUGCCACGGUGAAUACGUUCCCGGGCCUUGUACACACCGCCCGUCACACCAUGGGAGUGGGUUGCAAAAGAAGUAGGUAGCUUAACCUUCGGGAGGGCGCUUACCACUUUGUGAUUCAUGACUGGGGUGAAGUCGUAACAAGGUAACCGUA
RNAcentral lists this ribosomal RNA (1522 nucleotides) under uncultured Escherichia sp. RNAcentral's name for it is "bacterial SSU rRNA". It matches the Rfam family "Bacterial small subunit ribosomal RNA". The record is from RNAcentral. Lineage: Bacteria; Pseudomonadati; Pseudomonadota; Gammaproteobacteria; Enterobacterales; Enterobacteriaceae.